UGAACGACUGCUAAGACUGGAUAGGAGACAAGAAGGCAUCUUUUUGUUUUUAAAAGACCUAGCAAUAGGUAUGCUUAGGGAGGAGCUUGCGUCACAUUAGUUAGUUGGUGGGGUAAAGGCUUACCAAGACUAUGAUGUGUAGCCGGGCUGAGAGGUUGAACGGCCACAUUGGGACUGAGACACGGCCCAAACUCCUACGGGAGGCAGCAGUAGGGAAUUUUCGGCAAUGGAGGAAACUCUGACCGAGCAACGCCGCGUGAACGAUGAAGUAUUUCGGUACGUAAAGUUCUUUUAUUAGGGAAGAAUAAAUGAUGGAAAAAUCAUUCUGACGGUACCUAAUGAAUAAGCCCCGGCUAACUAUGUGCCAGCAGCCGCGGUAAUACAUAGGGGGCAAGCGUUAUCCGGAAUUAUUGGGCGUAAAGGGUGCGUAGGCGGUUAAAUAAGUUUAUGGUCUAAGUGCAAUGCUUAACAUUGUGAUGCUAUAAAAACUGUUUAGCUAGAGUAAGAUAGAGGCAAGUGGAAUUCCAUGUGUAGUGGUAAAAUGCGUAAAUAUAUGGAGGAACACCAGUAGCGAAGGCGGCUUGCUGGGUCUUUACUGACGCUGAGGCACGAAAGCGUGGGGAGCAAACAGGAUUAGAUACCCUGGUAGUCCACGCCGUAAACGAUGAGUACUAAAUGUUGGGUAAAACCAGUGUUGAAGUUAACACAUUAAGUACUCCGCCUGAGUAGUACGUACGCAAGUAUGAAACUUAAAGGAAUUGACGGGACUCCGCACAAGCGGUGGAUCAUGUUGUUUAAUUCGAAGGUACCCGAAAAACCUCACCAGGUCUUGACAUGCUUCUGCAAAGCUGUAGAAACACAGUGGAGGUUAUCAGUUGCACAGGUGGUGCAUGGUUGUCGUCAGCUCGUGUCGUGAGAUGUUGGGUUAAGUCCCGCAACGAGCGCAACCCUUAUUGUUAGUUGCCAGCACGUAAUGGUGGGGACUUUAGCAAGACUGCCAGUGAUAAAUUGGAGGAAGGUGGGGACGACGUCAAAUCAUCAUGCCCCUUAUGACCUGGGCUACAAACGUGAUACAAUGGCUGUUACAAAGGGUAGCUGAAACGCAAGUUUUUGGCGAAUCUCAAAAAAACAGUCUCAGUUCGGAUUGAAGUCUGCAACUCGACUUCAUGAAGUUGGAAUCGCUAGUAAUCGCGAAUCAGCAUGUCGCGGUGAAUACGUUCUCGGGGUUUGUACACACCGCCCGUCA
Molecule: ribosomal RNA, 1246 nt
Filed under: Clover phyllody phytoplasma
Lineage: Bacteria; Bacillati; Mycoplasmatota; Mollicutes; Acholeplasmatales; Acholeplasmataceae
Description: bacterial SSU rRNA
Rfam family: Bacterial small subunit ribosomal RNA
Source: RNAcentral